GUAUCGGUGGUUCAGUGGUAGAAUGCUCGCCUGCCGGGCGCGCUCCGGGUUCGAUUCCCGGCCGAUGCA
Molecule: transfer RNA, 69 nt
Filed under: Trichonephila inaurata madagascariensis
Lineage: Eukaryota; Metazoa; Arthropoda; Arachnida; Araneae; Nephilidae
Rfam family: tRNA
About the family: Transfer RNA (tRNA) molecules are approximately 80 nucleotides in length.
Source: Rfam by way of RNAcentral